AGGCGAUAUUGUAGUGUUUGUGCCAUACAUUACAGGUGUAUUCGUAUGCUCCCUCUACAGAAAGAAUAGAUUUUGCAAGCAAAUGACCUGUUUUCGAACAAAAACAAAAUGCUGUCAUCGUCUUUCCUCUUCCGAGCGAAUCCAGUUAGAAUGUAAUCCAAUAGGAAAAUGCGCCGGCUGUUUUGGCAUGAUCGCUUAUCAGCUUGAGAUUAAACAGUUUUCAAAAUCCACACAACCAGAAUCAAAAUUGGCAUCGUUUGUAUUGGUCAUCCGCUAACAUGGUAUGGUGCGCUCGGUACAGGGAGUCAUGCACACUCACAGGGUAUAUGAAGAUUCAAUAAAUAGGACACUAUCUGACACGAGAGCUUCUGCAAAAGGGGAAAGGGGGCGUAGGAACGAGUCUCUUAGUUAGUGAACGAUGACGUUAACACCAUUUAUAUAUAUACAGCUGUGUAAGUAUUGUAUUUGUGUCGAUCUGUUUGUAUGGCGCGGAACCUAAAACGUACCUCUAAAGCUUUUAAUUCUAGCCGGCGUUUUGUUGCGGUAGGCGCUUACUCGCACUGCUCGCUGGUAACGGAGUACAACUUAUUGGGCGCCAACAAACAAAACAAAACAAAAAUCCCUGAACCGGACAAUUACUACCUUUGGUAAGUAGGAUUAGCAUCUGCUAGCUUUCCGUUAGAGUCUGCCCUGUGAAAACUCUCCUCUAAUCGUUUCUGUUGCGCCCCUGUAAUCGCGGCGGGAUUGUAUUGGGAAGAGUUUGCUUACAAGAUAAAAGUGUGAAAGUAAUACUAUUCGCGUAAAGGAAAAAAAACAUGAAUUAUUAAAAUGAAUUACCAUGAAAUGCACUUUUGUUCAUUGUAUUGUCUAAUUGGCGGGAAAAUAUACGAAGAGAAAGAGAGACGGGAGAAGUAGAAUAAAAAAAACAAUCGAAACUACACAUGUCACGCGAAAAAGAGAGCGAGCGCUUAAUGCAAAAUGAAAGGACACUAAAAAACAAAAAGGG
Anopheles coluzzii is the source of this 1006-nucleotide long non-coding RNA. RefSeq lists it as uncharacterized. The transcript is spliced from 3 exons. The record is from RefSeq and is a predicted model, not a curated record. NCBI's taxonomy places the organism in Eukaryota, Metazoa, Arthropoda, Insecta, Diptera, Culicidae.